CAUGCAGCACAUAUACUCUAAAAGAAAAGGAAUGAUAUGCAGAAAAAAUUAGCAUGGCCCCUGAGCAAGGAUGACAUGCAAGUCUGUGAUGUAUCCCAUAUAAGA
This is a small nuclear RNA of Jaculus jaculus (lesser Egyptian jerboa), 105 nucleotides long. NCBI's taxonomy places the organism in Eukaryota, Metazoa, Chordata, Mammalia, Rodentia, Dipodidae. The record is from RefSeq and is a predicted model, not a curated record.